GCUUCCUUAGCUCAGUUGGUAGAGCAGCUGACUCUUAAUCAGCGGGUCGGGGGUUCGAGUCCCCCAGGGAGCA
RNAcentral lists this transfer RNA (73 nucleotides) under Chlorobiota bacterium. RNAcentral describes it as "tRNA-Lys". It matches the Rfam family "tRNA". Rfam says of the family: Transfer RNA (tRNA) molecules are approximately 80 nucleotides in length. Their secondary structure includes four short double-helical elements and three loops (D, anti-codon, and T loops). Further hydrogen bonds mediate the characteristic L-shaped molecular structure. tRNAs have two regions of fundamental functional importance: the anti-codon, which is responsible for specific mRNA codon recognition, and the 3' end, to which the tRNAs corresponding amino acid is attached (by aminoacyl-tRNA synthetases). tRNAs cope with the degeneracy of the genetic code in two manners: having more than one tRNA (with a specific anti-codon) for a particular amino acid; and 'wobble' base-pairing, i.e. permitting non-standard base-pairing at the 3rd anti-codon position. Lineage: Bacteria; Pseudomonadati; Chlorobiota. The record is from RNAcentral. RNAcentral also lists the same sequence under 1 other name.